This 253-nucleotide ribosomal RNA is filed under the name uncultured bacterium. Its description in RNAcentral is "partial 16S ribosomal RNA". It matches the Rfam family "Bacterial small subunit ribosomal RNA", at positions 524 to 776 of the family's 1533-position model. The record is from RNAcentral.
UACGUAGGCGGCAAGCGUUGUCCGGAAUUAUUGGGCGUAAAGCGCGCGCAGGCGGUCCUUUAAGUCUGAUGUGAAAGCCCUCGGCUCAACCGAGGAAGGUCAUUGGAAACUGGAGGACUUGAGUGCAGAAGAGGAAAGUGGAAUUCCAAGUGUAGCGGUGAAAUGCGUAGAGAUUUGGAGGAACACCAGUGGCGAAGGCGACUUUCUGGUCUGUAACUGACGCUGAGGCGCGAAAGCGUGGGGAGCAAACAGG